GACGCGCGGGGGCCGCGGGAGGCGGGGAACGACCCGAGAGCCCCGCCGCGCCGCCCCGGGAUUCCCCCGCAGGCCCUGAGAACGACACGAAAAGCAGUUCUCCACCCUCCUUCGCCACUCGAGCCUUUCCUCGCCGACCUGUCAGUGCUCUUGAAUGGUUCCCGCUGGAGCACACCUCCCCAGUGUAAUACCAUGAUGUGACGGCUUUCUUGAUUUGUACUUCCAGAGUGCAACUUUAGAAAGUUGAAGAAAUGGAGACAGAAUAGAUAGAAUGGUCGGUCACAGGUGGGACUAGAAUGCAGAUUUGGACUUGACGAGAAAAUGAUCUGGCAAAUUCCAUGAAAAAAAAAAACAACAACAAAACAAACCGAGACCAGAAAAAUCCC
Molecule: long non-coding RNA, 386 nt
Organism: Suricata suricatta (meerkat)
Lineage: Eukaryota; Metazoa; Chordata; Mammalia; Carnivora; Herpestidae
Exons: 4
Source: RefSeq, a predicted model, not a curated record